UAUCUCGUAGAGUCUGCAUAUCAAUAAGCGGAGGAAAAGAAACUAACAAGGAUUCCCUAGUAACGGCGAGUGAAGCGGGAAGAGCUCAAAUUUGAAAUCUUAAAGGUUUUACCUUGACGAAUUGUAGUUUAAAGAAGUGUUUUCUGUUGAAGUUUCGGUAAAAGUUCUUUGGAAUAGGACAUCAUAGAGGGUGAGAAUCCCGUAUUUGACCGUUACUUUCCAGCUGUGUGAUACACUUUCAAAGAGUCGGAUUGUUUGGGAAUGCAGUCCAAAAUGGGUGGUAAAUUUCAUCUAAAGCUAAAUAUUGGCGAGAGACCGAUAGCGAACAAGUACCGUGAGGGAAAGAUGAAAAGAACUUUGAAAAGAGAGUUAAACAGUACGUGAAAUUGUCAAAAGGGAAGCGUUUGACACCAGUGUUGUUUUCUCGAAAAUCAAUUAAAAAUGGCUUGAUUUUGUGUUGUAUUGACCUUAAAAGCUUUCUUCACUUUUUUCAUGUCUUUUUUAAUGCACUUUUCGUUUAACAAGUCAACAUCAGUUUCUUUUGUUGUGAAAAGGUCAUUGGAAGGUGGCUUUCUUUUCGGAGAAAGUGUUUAUAGCCUUUGACUUCUGCAAUCGGAGAGACUGAGGUCUGCAGCGUAGAUCCUUCUGGAUUAGAUUCAUUUGUGCUAAGUUACAACCGUUUAUAGACAACUUGUUGACUAUAUUCGAUCCUGUAGCUUACUCGCUUAUGUAAUUUUACCUACGCUUAGGAUGUUGAUAUGCAUGACUGAUAU
RNAcentral lists this ribosomal RNA (773 nucleotides) under uncultured Neocallimastigales. Its description in RNAcentral is "partial large subunit ribosomal RNA". It matches the Rfam family "Eukaryotic large subunit ribosomal RNA", at positions 24 to 621 of the family's 3401-position model. The record is from RNAcentral. Lineage: Eukaryota; Fungi; Neocallimastigomycota; Neocallimastigomycetes; Neocallimastigales.